UACGGAGGGGGCUAGCGUUGUUCGGAAUUACUGGGCGUAAAGCGCACGUAGGCGGCUUUGUAAGUUAGAGGUGAAAGCCCGGGGCUCAACUCCGGAAUUGCCUUUAAGACUGCAUCGCUCGAAUUGUGGAGAGGUAAGUGGAAUUCCGAGUGUAGAGGUGAAAUUCGUAGAUAUUCGGAAGAACACCAGUGGCGAAGGCGACUUACUGGACACAUAUUGACGCUGAGGUGCGAAAGCCAGGGGAGCAAACGGG
RNAcentral lists this ribosomal RNA (253 nucleotides) under uncultured bacterium. RNAcentral's name for it is "partial 16S ribosomal RNA". It matches the Rfam family "Bacterial small subunit ribosomal RNA", at positions 524 to 776 of the family's 1533-position model. The record is from RNAcentral.